AUGUUUAAGCAUGAGUAUGCCGCAAGAUUGACUUUGCAAAUGCAUGAAUUUUCAGUGUUGAACCCGCAACCUUGCUAUCAGUUUGCAAAAUAAAGAACUUUUAAUUGAUUAGAUAAAUAUGACUGAAGAGUCAAUUGAGCCAGAAGUUCUUGAGCGUCAGGAAACUCAUGAUGAUUCUCUGAAAGACAUGGAGGAAACAAUAUAUCAGUUGCGGGCGAACAGGAAAAUAAGAUUGGCGUUGUUAACACGCCAAAUGAACAUUGUUAAAGGAUUGUUGGAAGAUGAUUUAAAUGUUGUUGAAGUCAGACAAAGCAUGGUCAAAUACAGGAAAUUACUGGAUGAAUUUAAAGAUGCUCAUAAGUCUAUCCAACAUCUUUUAAGUGAGGAAGAGCGUAGAAUGGAUCUUGAGAAGUGGUUCCAACCUAAAAUGGACGCAAUUCAAGAUUUUAUGUCAUGUGUGACUACCUGGUCGUCUAGUACCGCAGUUAUAAAAGAUGCUGAUGUUGAGGUUGAUGCUCCUGCUGACAAUGUUUCCAUAGUAUCUUUCAGGUCAAAAGAGUCUACAUGGAGCUCACGCAGUUCACGGAGCUCGCACAGUUCUCGGAGUUCACACGGUUCACACUUGUCAGCACUGAUUGAAGCAGAGGCGGAACAUGCUGCUCUAAAGGCCCGUUAUGCUGCAUUAAAAGAGAAACAUGCACUAGAGGAAAAGGAGCAGAAGCUAAACCUGAAGAAGGAGCAAAUAAGACAACAAAAAGAAACAUUGGAAAUGGAAUCUGACUUGGCAGCUACCACUGCUAGAAUUAACGUCUUGAAAGAAGUAGAAAAACCAGUAAGUUCAGUAGAUGCAAUGAAUGAAUAUAUUGAUAAAGAACAAGAUGCAUUGGAGUUGAAAAAAUCUCUGAUGGUACCAGGUGACUCAGUUAAAGGUGUCAGUCCUAAAGAGCCGCAUUCCGCAUUUCGAGACCAAAAGGAAAGCAAACCUCCUCUGAAACAUCCCAAAGCAAGGACAGUCACUUGGAAGCAGGUUCACUUGUAUCUGCACAGGCGGAGACGCAUACUGCCUUUAGAGAGGAGCGGCAACAUCUUGAACCAGUAUCCAGCGC
Molecule: long non-coding RNA, 1106 nt
Filed under: Sinocyclocheilus anshuiensis
Lineage: Eukaryota; Metazoa; Chordata; Actinopteri; Cypriniformes; Cyprinidae
Description: lncRNA (ENSSANG00000043763.1)
Source: RNAcentral